GACGAACGCUGGCGGCGUGCUUAACACAUGCAAGUCGAGCGGUAAGGCCCUUUCGGGGGUACGACGAGCGGCGAACGGGUGAGUAACACGUGGGUGACCUGCCCUCAGCUCUGGGAUAAGCCUGGGAAACCGGGUCUAAUACCGGAUAUGACUCCAUGACGCAUGUUGUGGGGUGGAAAGCCUUGUGCGGCUGAGGAUGGGCCCGCGGCCUAUCAGCUUGUUGGUGGGGUGANGGCCUACCAAGGCGACGACGGGUAGCCGGCCUGAGAGGGCGACCGGCCACACUGGGACUGAGACACGGCCCAGACUCCUACGGGAGGCAGCAGUGGGGAAUCUUGCGCAAUGGGCGAAAGCCUGACGCAGCGACGCCGCGUGAGGGAUGACGGCCUCGGUGUAAC
Molecule: ribosomal RNA, 398 nt
Filed under: uncultured bacterium
Lineage: Bacteria
Description: bacterial SSU rRNA
Rfam family: Bacterial small subunit ribosomal RNA
Source: RNAcentral